UACGUAGGGCGCAAGCGUUAUCCGGAAUUAUUGGGCGUAAAGAGCUCGUAGGCGGUUUGUCGCGUCUGCUGUGAAAUUUCGGGGCUCAACCCCGAACUUGCAGUGGGUACGGGCAGACUAGAGUGUGGUAGGGGAGACUGGAAUUCCUGGUGUAGCGGUGAAAUGCGCAGAUAUCAGGAGGAACACCGAUGGCGAAGGCAGGUCUCUGGGCCAUAACUGACGCUGAGAAGCGAAAGCAUGGGGAGCGAACAGG
This 253-nucleotide ribosomal RNA is filed under the name uncultured bacterium. RNAcentral's name for it is "partial 16S ribosomal RNA". It matches the Rfam family "Bacterial small subunit ribosomal RNA", at positions 524 to 776 of the family's 1533-position model. The record is from RNAcentral.